AUUGAACGCUAGCGGGAUGCCUUACACAUGCAAGUCGAACGGAGUGGCGAACGGGUGAGUAAUGUAUCGAAACGUGCCCAGUAACGGGGGCUAACUACGGGGAAGCGUAGCUAAUACCGCAUGCUAUUGGUGCAGUCGAUAUCGGAUUAGCUAGUUGGUGGGGUAACGGCCCACAAAGGCGAGGAUCCGUAGCCGAUUUGAGAGGGCGACCAGCCACACUGGGACUGAGACACGGCCCAGACUCCUACGGGAGGCAGCAGUGGGGAAUUUUGGGCAAUGGGGGAAACCUUGCUGCGGACAGCCGGGGUGGUGGAUAAGGGCUUCCGGGCUUUAAGGCACGUUUUGCAGGAAAGCGGUACCUGAAGAAUAAGCACCGGCUAACUACGUGCCAGCAGCCGCGGUAAUAC
RNAcentral lists this ribosomal RNA (407 nucleotides) under uncultured bacterium. RNAcentral's name for it is "partial 16S ribosomal RNA". It matches the Rfam family "Bacterial small subunit ribosomal RNA", at positions 30 to 526 of the family's 1533-position model. The record is from RNAcentral.